Molecule: ribosomal RNA, 1372 nt
Filed under: uncultured bacterium
Lineage: Bacteria
Description: bacterial SSU rRNA
Rfam family: Bacterial small subunit ribosomal RNA
Source: RNAcentral
GAUAAACGCUGGCGGCGUGCCUAAUACAUGCAAGUCGAGCGAACGGACGAGAAGCUUGCUUCUCUGAUGUUAGCGGCGGACGGGUGAGUAACACGUGGAUAACCUACCUAUAAGACUGGGAUAACUUCGGGAAACCGGAGCUAAUACCGGAUAAUAUUUUGAACCGCAUGGUUCAAAAGUGAAAGACGGUCUUGCUGUCACUUAUAGAUGGAUCCGCGCUGCAUUAGCUAGUUGGUAAGGUAACGGCUUACCAAGGCAACGAUGCAUAGCCGACCUGAGAGGGUGAUCGGCCACACUGGAACUGAGACACGGUCCAGACUCCUACGGGAGGCAGCAGUAGGGAAUCUUCCGCAAUGGGCGAAAGCCUGACGGAGCAACGCCGCGUGAGUGAUGAAGGUCUUCGGAUCGUAAAACUCUGUUAUUAGGGAAGAACAUAUGUGUAAGUAACUGUGCACAUCUUGACGGUACCUAAUCAGAAAGCCACGGCUAACUACGUGCCAGCAGCCGCGGUAAUACGUAGGUGGCAAGCGUUAUCCGGAAUUAUUGGGCGUAAAGCGCGCGUAGGCGGUUUUUUAAGUCUGAUGUGAAAGCCCACGGCUCAACCGUGGAGGGUCAUUGGAAACUGGAAAACUUGAGUGCAGAAGAGGAAAGUGGAAUUCCAUGUGUAGCGGUGAAAUGCGCAGAGAUAUGGAGGAACACCAGUGGCGAAGGCGACUUUCUGGUCUGUAACUGACGCUGAUGUGCGAAAGCGUGGGGAUCAAACAGGAUUAGAUACCCUGGUAGUCCACGCCGUAAACGAUGAGUGCUAAGUGUUAGGGGGUUUCCGCCCCUUAGUGCUGCAGCUAACGCAUUAAGCACUCCGCCUGGGGAGUACGACCGCAAGGUUGAAACUCAAAGGAAUUGACGGGGACCCGCACAAGCGGUGGAGCAUGUGGUUUAAUUCGAAGCAACGCGAAGAACCUUACCAAAUCUUGACAUCCUUUGACAACUCUAGAGAUAGAGCCUUCCCCUUCGGGGGACAAAGUGACAGGUGGUGCAUGGUUGUCGUCAGCUCGUGUCGUGAGAUGUUGGGUUAAGUCCCGCAACGAGCGCAACCCUUAAGCUUAGUUGCCAUCAUUAAGUUGGGCACUCUAAGUUGACUGCCGGUGACAAACCGGAGGAAGGUGGGGAUGACGUCAAAUCAUCAUGCCCCUUAUGAUUUGGGCUACACACGUGCUACAAUGGACAAUACAAAGGGCAGCGAAACCGCGAGGUCAAGCAAAUCCCAUAAAGUUGUUCUCAGUUCGGAUUGUAGUCUGCAACUCGACUACAUGAAGCUGGAAUCGCUAGUAAUCGUAGAUCAGCAUGCUACGGUGAAUACGUCCCCGGGUCU